RNAcentral lists this ribosomal RNA (383 nucleotides) under uncultured eukaryote. RNAcentral describes it as "partial 18S ribosomal RNA". It matches the Rfam family "Eukaryotic small subunit ribosomal RNA", at positions 592 to 976 of the family's 1831-position model. The record is from RNAcentral.
CAAUAGCGUAUAUUAAAGUUGUUGCAGUUAAAAAGCUCGUAGUUGGAUUUCUGGUGGGAGCGAUCGGUCUGGCGCUUAGCGCGAGUACUUGCAUCGUCUCCGGCCAUCCUUGGGGAGAGUCUGUCUGGCAUUAGGUUGUCGGGCAGAGGAUCUUCAUCGUUUACUGUGAAAAAAUUAGAGUGUUCAAAGCAGGCUUAUGCCGUUGAAUAUAUUAGCAUGGAAUAAUAAGAUAGGACUUUGGUACUAUUUUGUUGGUUUGCGCACCAAAGUAAUGAUUAAUAGGGACAGUUGGGGGUAUUCGUAUUCCGCUGUCAGAGGUGAAAUUCUUGGAUUUACGGAAGACGAACUACUGCGAAAGCAUUUACCAAGGAUGUUUUCAUUAA